GAGUAACGCGUGGGUAACCUGCCUUAUACAGGGGGAUAACAGUCAGAAAUGGCUGCUAAUACCGCAUAAGCGCACAGAGCUGCAUGGCUCAGUGUGAAAAACUCCGGUGGUAUAAGAUGGACCCGCGUUGGAUUAGCUAGUUGGUGGGAUAACGGCCCACCAAGGCGACGAUCCAUAGCCGGCCUGAGAGGGUGAACGGCCACAUUGGGACUGAGACACGGCCCAGACUCCUACGGGAGGCAGCAUG
RNAcentral lists this ribosomal RNA (247 nucleotides) under uncultured bacterium. Its description in RNAcentral is "partial 16S ribosomal RNA". It matches the Rfam family "Bacterial small subunit ribosomal RNA", at positions 108 to 353 of the family's 1533-position model. The record is from RNAcentral.